AGCCUUUAGCAAAUAAAAUAUUAAAGGUCCCGCCUGCCCAGUGACCCUAUUUAAACGGCCGCGGUAUCCUAACCGUGCAAAGGUAGCGUAAUCAUUUGUUCUAUAAAUCAGGACUAGUAUGAACGGCGCCAUGAGGAUUGAUUUGUCUCUCGUGAUAAAUCUAUGAAACUGAUCUACCAGUACAAAAGCUGGAAUAAAACCACAAGACGAGAAGACCCUGUGGAGCUUAAGCCACACGUCACAGCAUGUUGACGCCAACGCUUCGGUUGGGGCGACUUUGGAGACAAACAAAACCUCCAACAUUCACACUAAAGGCCUCCAAGCCACUACACCCAUUUGACCCAAUACACUUGACUAAUGAACCAAGUUACCCCAGGGAUAACAGCGCAAUCUUCUUCUAGAGUCCCUAUCGACAAGAAGGUUUACGACCUCGAUGUUGGAUCAGGAUACCCAAAUAGUGCAGCCGCUAUUGACGGUUCGUUUGUUCAACGAUUAACAAUCCU
This 503-nucleotide ribosomal RNA is filed under the name Trogonophis wiegmanni (checkerboard worm lizard). RNAcentral's name for it is "partial 16S ribosomal RNA". It matches the Rfam family "Bacterial large subunit ribosomal RNA", at positions 1817 to 2597 of the family's 2925-position model. The record is from RNAcentral. Lineage: Eukaryota; Metazoa; Chordata; Lepidosauria; Squamata; Trogonophidae.